CCUACGGGAGACAGCAGUGAGGAAUAUUGGUCAAUGGGAGAGAUCCUGAACCAGCCAAGCCGCGUGAGGGAAGACGGCCCUAUGGGUUGUAAACUUCUUUUGUCAAGGGACAAAAUCAGGCUCGAGAGCCUGACCGAGGGUACUUGUAGAAAAAGCAUCGGCUAACUCCGUGCCAGCAGCCGCGGUAAUACGGAGGAUGCGAGCGUUAUCCGGAUUUAUUGGGUUUAAAGGGUGCGUAGGCGGACUGUUAAGUCAGCGGUAAAAGCCCGGGGCUCAACCCCGGCGAGCCGUUGAAACUGGCUGUCUUGAGAUGUCGAGAGGUAUGCGGAAUGCGCAGUGUAGCGGUGAAAUGCUUAGAUAUUGCGCAGAACUCCGAUUGCGAAGGCAGCAUACCGGCGGCGAUCUGACGCUGAGGCACGAAAGCGUGGGUAUCGAACAGGAUUAGAUACCCCUGUAGUC
This 459-nucleotide ribosomal RNA is filed under the name uncultured bacterium. RNAcentral's name for it is "partial 16S ribosomal RNA". It matches the Rfam family "Bacterial small subunit ribosomal RNA", at positions 338 to 795 of the family's 1533-position model. The record is from RNAcentral.